UACGGAGGAUGCGAGCGUUAUCCGGAUUUAUUGGGUUUAAAGGGUGCGUAGGCGGCCUAUUAAGUCAGUGGUGAAAUCCUGCCGCUUAACGGUAGAACAGCCAUUGAUACUGAUGGGCUUGAGUUUGGUUGAGGUAGGCGGAAUGUGUUGUGUAGCGGUGAAAUGCUUAGAUAUGACACAGAACACCGAUUGCGAAGGCAGCUUACCAAGCCAUUACUGACGCUGAUGCACGAAAGCGUGGGGAGCGAACAGGAUUAGAUACC
This 263-nucleotide ribosomal RNA is filed under the name uncultured bacterium. RNAcentral's name for it is "partial 16S ribosomal RNA". It matches the Rfam family "Bacterial small subunit ribosomal RNA", at positions 524 to 786 of the family's 1533-position model. The record is from RNAcentral.